RNAcentral lists this ribosomal RNA (465 nucleotides) under Vreelandella stevensii. Its description in RNAcentral is "partial 16S ribosomal RNA". It matches the Rfam family "Bacterial small subunit ribosomal RNA", at positions 338 to 795 of the family's 1533-position model. Lineage: Bacteria; Pseudomonadati; Pseudomonadota; Gammaproteobacteria; Oceanospirillales; Halomonadaceae. The record is from RNAcentral.
CCUACGGGGGGCAGCAGUGGGGAAUAUUGGACAAUGGGGGGAACCCUGAUCCAGCCAUGCCGCGUGUGUGAAGAAGGCCCUCGGGUUGUAAAGCACUUUCAGUGAGGAAGAACGCCUGGUGGUUAAUACCCAUCAGGAAAGACAUCACUCACAGAAGAAGCACCGGCUAACUCCGUGCCAGCAGCCGCGGCAAUACGGAGGGUGCGAGCGUUAAUCGGAAUUACUGGGCGUAAAGCGCGCGUAGGUGGCUUGAUAAGCCGGUUGUGAAAGCCCCGGGCUCAACCUGGGAACGGCAUCCGGAACUGUCAAGCUAGAGUGCAGGAGAGGAAGGUAGAAUUCCCGGUGUAGCGGUGAAAUGCGUAGAGAUCGGGAGGAAUACCAGUGGCGAAGGCGGCCUUCUGGACUGACACUGACACUGAGGUGCGAAAGCGUGGGUAGCAAACAGGAUUAGAUACCCUGGUAGUC